CUUUUUUUUUUUUUUUUUUUUUUUUUUUUGGUCUUUUAGGGCUGCACUCUCAGCCUAUGGAAGUUCCCAGGCCAGGGGUUGAAAUGGAGCUGUAGCUGCCAGCCUAGGCCAUGGCCACAGCAAUGCCAGAUCUAAGCCAUGUCUGUGGCCUACACCACAGCUCACAACAACGCCGGAUCCCUAACCCACUGAGCAAGGCCAGGGAUGGAACCUGCAUUCUCAUGGUUAACCACUGAGCCACGACAGGAACUCCUGCCUACUCUUUUUUUUUUUUUUUGAGCAUCAUUAAUGCUUUGUUUACACCUCUCACCAUCUCUUUCACAAACAGGAUUAUGAUUGUAUUUUUUAUUUUUAUCUUUUUUUUUUGGCCUUUUUGCUAUUUCCUGGGCCGCUUCCGCGACAUACGGAGGUUCCCAGGUGCGGCCCUAGAAAAGGCAAAAAAGAUAAAAACAAAAACAAUUGGCAGCCCUAUAGCCUUGAUAUCAGUACAUAAAACAAUGGUGCAUCCUAUAAAUGACAGCUUCUUGGAUAAAACAAGAUACAUUUUUUAGCUCUGUGUUUCUCAGCCUGUGUAUUACUAGGAAGAAGGAAGCAGAAGCAAGUUUGAUGGAACACAGGAUUUUAGUAUGAACUCCUCAAUCCUCUCAAUGCCCAGCACAGGUUGUGAGCCCCCUACAGCUCUGCCCUCUGCCCUGCUGUCAGUCACCUUGGCCACUUGGUGCGGCUCCUUAUUUUUGUUUCUUUUCCUACUAGUAUGUGUCUGAUUACUGAUUCUUGCCCAUUCCAUGUGUCAGACUUGCCAGAGAUUGCUGCUUCUGCUCCACUGUCCUCUCAGUGUUUGCUCCUAUGUGCAUUUGGAGAGCAUUGGGAGAGAACAUUGCUUAGUCACAAAAGCAAUUGGAUUAUGCUGGAGAGAAAUCCCAUGAAGAAAACCAACUUCUACACUGAUGACAUAAGGGCUGAGCUUUCUUGACUAUUGGUUCCAGACAUAAUGCUUCUAUCUUACUUAAUGAUCUUAUUAUUAUUAUUUUUGUUUAUCCUUUAACCCAAAAGGGAGUGAUGGACAGAAUUGGGAUACAUGAGGACUGAGGAGCCUUUUUUUUUUUUUUUUUGUCUUUUUAGGGCCACACCCAUGGCAUAUGGAGGUUCCCAGGCUAGAGGUCUAUGUAGAGCUGUAGCUGCCGGCCUACACCACAGCCCCAGCAGUGCGGGAUUCAAGCCGCAUCUGCGACCUACACCACAGCUCAUGGCAACACCAGAUCCUUAACCCACUGAGGGAGGCCAGGAAUUGAACCUGCAACCUCAUGGUUCUUAGUUGUUUUUGUUAACCACUGAGCCACGACGGGCACUCCAGGAACCUCUUAUCUUUGGAUUCCUAGCAUGUUCCUUCUACCCCCAUGCCUCUUUUUCUAGGGAAAACAGAUCUAGCCCUUGGGCCACAGGGGUGACCUGAUGCCAACAUGGCACAGUGGGGUCCUUUCAGGGGCCUGGACAAUGACCUUGAAAGAGACAUAUUCUCUUUUUCUU
RNAcentral lists this long non-coding RNA (1527 nucleotides) under Sus scrofa (pig). Its description in RNAcentral is "lncRNA (ENSSSCG00055000138.1)". The record is from RNAcentral. Lineage: Eukaryota; Metazoa; Chordata; Mammalia; Artiodactyla; Suidae.